This 449-nucleotide ribosomal RNA is filed under the name uncultured bacterium. RNAcentral describes it as "bacterial SSU rRNA". It matches the Rfam family "Bacterial small subunit ribosomal RNA", at positions 328 to 793 of the family's 1533-position model. The record is from RNAcentral.
GGCCCAGACUCCUACGGGAGGCAGCAGUGGGGAAUAUUGCACAAUGGGGGAAACCCUGAUGCAGCGACGCCGCGUGAGUGAAGAAGUAUUUCGGUAUGUAAAGCUCUAUCAGCAGGGAAGAGAAUGACGGUACCUGAGUAAGAAGCCCCGGCUAACUACGUGCCAGCAGCCGCGGUAAUACGUAGGGGGCAAGCGUUAUCCGGAUUUACUGGGUGUAAAGGGAGCGUAGACGGCGAAGAAAGUCUGAAGUGAAAGCCCGCGGCUCAACCGCGGAACUGCUUUGGAAACUGUGUGACUGGAGUGCAGGAGAGGUAAGCGGAAUUCCUGGUGUAGCGGUGAAAUGCGUAGAUAUUAGGAGGAACACCGGUGGCGAAGGCGGCUUGCUGGACGGUAACUGACGUUGAGGCUCGAAAGCGUGGGGAGCAAACAGGAUUAGAUACCCGUGUACG